GGAGGCAUUGUAGGUUCUCCUAUAAAUUGCUGUCUGAGCUGUUGGUUCUCCCGGAGAAGCUUUGGUCCUCACAUCGAGCAUUGCUUCCUGGCUCCGGAGGGAAAGACAUGUGCUGCUUGGUCUCCAGGAUGAACUCGUCACGCUGUUUCCUGGCACCCUCCGUGUUGCUGAGGAUGGCGGUGGUGCCUUUCAGGACAGCCCUGGUCUUUGUUGUCCCUGCAAAGUUGCGGACGGAACUCUCUGUCUGAGUACAUGGCACUAUCUGAAAUUGCAUUUUCCUGCGAGGGAAAGGACUUCAAGUGGCACCACGGGAUGAUGCUGUCACUGAGAUGCCUGGCUGCUCUCUGUAACAGAUGCUGGUAAACUAGUUUGGAGAAAACACCAAAGCCAAAGUUUUCUUGAUAAGUAGGAGAAGAGAUUCAUUUCUGCCCCCCGAUAUCGGAUCCUCAGAAUGCACUUACUUAAUUUUUGGCUGCAAGUUCAUUAUGGGGCUUUUGUGGACAGUGGCUGCACUGCUCAUCCCGCUGGUCCAGGAAGAUCCCGGGCCCUCAGUUACUGCUGAAGGAGACGCUGCACAGAGGAGAAAUCCCUGGAGCUGGGAACCACGCUGCCUGCCCGCUGGCCUCUGUCCCCUCUGUGGGAGCUGGGGCCUGGGCUCCCCUUACUGUGUGGUCUUUCCUGUGUCUGUCCAUCCACGCGAGGCAUCGGUCCCCCACAACUGUCUCCUUUUCUCAUCCCUUUCUUGGCUUCCGAAAAGGAAACAUUGGAAUCAGUGAGGAGAGAUAAAAGGCGAGAGAUAAUGGGGGAAAUAGGAAGAAUAAUUGUUGUAUAUAUUUGAUCUGAGUACACCUGUGAAAAAAAUAAAGAUCAGGAAAACCUUCGGCAUAGUCCAUUAUUGCAGUUCUUGUACGAUUCGAUUCUGAAUGUGUGUGUGUAAGGCAGGAAGCUCUGUAUAAGUGGGAGAAUUCCGUGCUCGACUCCCACUCCUGGAUCCGUCCUAGAGACUUACGGAAAACAGAAUGCAAUUAAUAGAACCAUUUUUAUUUCCACCAGAAGUGCAUGAGUGAUAUAUUUUCUGCAUUUUGUAUUAUCACUGGUUUUACUUGGACAUGUGACCAUUGACUUGGUCAUAGCUGGUGCAUGGUGAUAUUUCACUUUGGUUUUAUGAACUGAAAUGGGUAAUGAUGCUAAGCUUUUCCCAUGGGUUUAUUCCUAACCCGAAUAUCUUUUUCAGUGAAAUAUCUCUUAAUAUCUUUUGCUUAUGUUCUAAUAGGACUGCGUGUAUUUUACUUUUCAGUUUUUAAAGUUCUGUGUGUACUCUAGAUACAAGUCCUUUGUGUGUUAUUUUGUUUGCAAACACUUUCCCCUAGUCCAUAGCUUACCAUCUUACCACCUCGAGAGAGUCUGUUCUAGAAAAAAUAUUUAAAUUUUAAAGAGGUUUAAUUUAGGCUGGUAUGCUGGGACACACCUGUAAUCCCAGCACUCAAGAGGCUAAGCUUGAGGAUUGCUGUGAGUUUGAGGCCAGCCUUGGCUACAAAGUGGGUUCAAGUCCAGUCUGAACUGCGGAGUGAGACUCUGUCUCAAAAAGGCAAAAAAAAAAAAAAAAAAAAAAAAUCAAAACAAAAAACAAACAAACAAAAACCCAGAAAACAAAAGCGGUUCAAUUUAUUGACUUCUGAUUUUAUGACAAUGCUUCUGUCUUUAAAUAAAAUAAAUUAUUGUGUGAUCUUAAAUCCAAAAUUUUUCUUUGCUUUUCCUAAGUUUUAGAUUUAAGAUCAAAUUCAUGAUACUUCUUAAUUUUUUAGCACUGAGGUUCAUAUUUUGCCCAUACUUGUGCAUGUUGCUUGAUACAUUUUUUGAAAUACCUAUUUUCUCUCCAGUAAACUGCUUUUGUGCAUGUUUUCAGAAGUUUAACCAUGCCAUGUGGGUGUGUUUCUGAGCUUUGUAUUUUCUGGUUUAUCUCUGUGUUUUUGUGUCUGUCGGUACCACACGGUAUUUGACUGCUUUGCUCACUUUUUAAUGUUUUUAGUGCAUGCUUGCACUGCCUAAUGAGCACAUUCCUGGGGACUCGGCUUGCGCACCCACUAACCAUUAACCCUGUGUACUCGCCUGUCCCUUCUCCCUCUCUUUUCCUUGAAUCCCUUGAUUCCUUUUCCAUCUAUAAAAAUCCUACCUGUCUCUCCUACAGUCUACUUUUUAUUUUGCUCUUUAAAGUAUUUAUACUUUGGAUUUCUCAUAUAAAAUCAAGCGUAGGAAUUUAACAUUUUGUGUGAUUUAUUUCACAUGGAGUUAUGGUUUCACGGUACAUCCAGUUUCCUACAAAUGAUUCCCGUUUCUCCUUCUUUAUGGCUGAGUGCUAUUCCAUUUUGUAUAUCUGCCAUAUUUUUAGACCAUUCAUCUAUUGAUGGGUAUAGUCUGCUUUCAAAAUUUAGCUCUUAUACUCCGCUGUGAUGAAUACGGAUGCGCAUCUAUUACUGUAAUAUGGUGACUGUAAGUCUUUCAUGAAGAUUCCUGGAAAGGGAAGAGCUGGGCUGAGUGAGAUUUUUUAGUGUUAGUUUUUGGUGAUGCUUUGUAGUAAUUUCCAUAGAAGUUGUUCUAGUUUACUCUCCCACAAACCAGGUAUAUUAACUACUUCAGCUUCACACAAGGCUUUAAAUUGGAGACUGUUUUCUGUUUAUUCUUUUCAAAAUUGUUUUAGGUAUUUAGUGCCUGGGACUUUCUAUAUAAAUUUAGAGCAACUUUGUGGGUAUCUAGAAAAAUGCUGGUAAAAAUCUGAUUAGGAUUGCAUCAAGCCUAUGUAUCGAUUUGAGGGAAAUUUGACAUUUACGCUGCGUGGAAUCUUCUAAUCAGUUAACAUAAUAUGCCCUGUCAUGUUCUUAGACAUUUGGUAAUUUUUUGAAGCAAUGUCUUAUAGUUCUCAGCAUAAAAAUCUUUUGAGGUUUUGUUAGAUUUGCACCUAAACAUUGCAUGAUUUUUAAGAGAUGAGAAAUAGUAUUACCUUUUCACUUUAGUGUUGACAUAAUAUAU
Long non-coding RNA from Cavia porcellus (domestic guinea pig), 3027 nucleotides. RefSeq lists it as uncharacterized. The record is from RefSeq and is a predicted model, not a curated record. The transcript is spliced from 3 exons. Lineage: Eukaryota; Metazoa; Chordata; Mammalia; Rodentia; Caviidae.